AGCAGUAGCCGCGGGAAUACGGAGGGUGCAAGCGUUAAUCGGAAUUACUGGGCGUAAAGCGCACGCAGGCGGUCUGUCAAGUCAGAUGUGAAAUCCCCGGGCUUAACCUGGGAACUGCAUUUGAAACUGGCAGGCUAGAGUCUUGUAGAGGGGGGUAGAAUUCCAGGUGUAGCGGUGAAAUGCGUAGAGAUCUGGAGGAAUACCGGUGGCGAAGGCGGCCCCCUGGACAAAGACUGACGCUCAGGUGCGAAAGCGUGGGGAGCAAACAGGAUUAGAUACCCGGGUAGUCCCUGUCUCUUAUAC
Molecule: ribosomal RNA, 303 nt
Filed under: uncultured bacterium
Lineage: Bacteria
Description: partial 16S ribosomal RNA
Rfam family: Bacterial small subunit ribosomal RNA
Source: RNAcentral